Molecule: ribosomal RNA, 253 nt
Filed under: uncultured bacterium
Lineage: Bacteria
Description: partial 16S ribosomal RNA
Rfam family: Bacterial small subunit ribosomal RNA
Source: RNAcentral
UACGUAGGGUGCGAGCGUUGUCCGGAAUUAUUGGGCGUAAAGGGCUCGUAGGCGGUCUGUCACGUCGGGAGUGAAAACUCAGGGCUUAACCCUGAGCCUGCUUCCGAUACGGGCAGACUAGAGGUAUGCAGGGGAGAACGGAAUUCCUGGUGUAGCGGUGAAAUGCGCAGAUAUCAGGAGGAACACCGGUGGCGAAGGCGGGUCUCUGGGCCGUAACUGACGCUGAGGAGCGAAAGCGUGGGGAGCGAACAGG